RNAcentral lists this ribosomal RNA (479 nucleotides) under uncultured bacterium. Its description in RNAcentral is "partial 16S ribosomal RNA". It matches the Rfam family "Bacterial small subunit ribosomal RNA", at positions 28 to 507 of the family's 1533-position model. The record is from RNAcentral.
GAUGAACGCUAGCGGGAGGCCUAACACAUGCAAGCCGAGCGGUAUUGUUUCUUCGGAACUGAGAGAGCGGCGUACGGGUGCGUAACACGUGUGCAACCUGCCUUUAUCUGGGGGAUAGCCUUUCGAAAGGAAGAUUAAUACUCCAUAAUAUAUUGAACGGCAUCGUUUAAUAUUGAAAGCUCCGGCGGAUAGAGAUGGGCACGCGCAAGAUUAGCUAGUUGGUGAGGUAACGGCUCACCAAGGCGAUGAUCUUUAGGGGGCCUGAGAGGGUGAUCCCCCACACUGGGACGGAGACACGGACCAGACUCCUACGGGAGGCAGCAGUGAGGAAUAUUGGUCAAUGGGUGCAAGCCUGAACCAGCCAUCCCGCGUGAAGGACGACUGCCCUAUGGGUUGUAAACUUCUUUUGUAUAGGGAUAAACCUACCCUCGAGAGGGUAGCUGAAGGUACUAUACGAAUAAGCACCGGCUAACUCCGUG